AAGAAAAUUCUCAGCAGCCGAGAUCAAUUAUGAGAUCCACGAUAAAGAACUUCUUGCGAUCGUGGAUUCCUUUCAAGAAUGGCGUCAUUAUCUAGAAGGCGCUUCUAGUCCAGUCACUGUGUAUACAGAUCACAAGAACCUCGAGUAUUUCAUGUCAGCACGCGUGUUGAAUCGUCGUCAAGCUCGUUGGAGUAUGUCUUUGUCAAGAUUCGAGUUCAUUAUCACUUAUCGGCCAGGAAAACAACAAGGUUUAUCCGAUGCCCUAUCUAGACGUUCUUAUUUUGCACCAAAAGAAGGAGAUGCAGCUUUUGAGCAACAAAGAACGGUCCUCUUGAAACCGGAGCAAUUUCAUCUCCGAGCAAUGAAAUCAACAUUGACUGUUGAUUCAACUUUUCUCAAGCAAAUCCAGUCCAGUAUGUCCUCAGAUCCUCUUGUUUAUGAUAUCGAGAAUAAUUCUUCCAAGUCUCAUGAUCCUUCUAAGUUUGAGUUCAAGAAUAAUCUAUUAUAUUUUGAAGGACGCCUAUAUGUUCCAGAAGGAGAAGCACGUUUACGUGUUCUUCAAGCACGUCAUGACUUUCCAGCAGCAGGGUACUUUGAAUAUAAUAAGACUUUGGAACUCAUAUCAAGAGAUUUUUGGUGGCCACAAAUGUAGAAGUCAGUCAAAGACUUUGUACAAUCAUGUGAUAUUUGUUCAAGAUCAAAAAUUCCUCGUCAUCGACCUUACGGACUUCUUCAGCCAUUACCUAUACCAGAACAACCAUGGUCUUCUGUUUCUAUGGAUUUCAUCACAGAUCUUCCAAGCUCAAGAUCUUAUGAUUCUAUAUUUGUAAUAGUAGAUCGUUUCACCAAGAUGGCACAUUUUGUGCCAUGUACAAAAUCUAUCACAGGUGAAGAAACAGCUAAGCUUUUCAUUGAUAAUAUCUAUCGCUAUCAUGGAUUACCUAAAGAUAUCAUAUCGGAUAGGGGAACUCAAUUUGUGUCAAGAUUUUGGAGGACCCUUUUCAAGAUUUUAAAAGUGGACAUAAAGCUAUCUUCGGCUUUCCAUCCUCAAACUGAUGGACAAACAGAGCGCGUAAACCAAGUCUUGGAGCAAUAUUUAAGGUGUACUAUCAACUACCAACAAGAUGAUUGGACAACCCUUCUGCCAUUGGCAGAGUUUGCUUAUAAUAAUACGGUACAUUCUUCCACGCAACAAACACCUUUCUUUGCCAAUUAUGGCUAUCAUCCACGACUUGAUACUUUUGAUUUUUCAAAAGUUGAUAAUCCUGCAGCAGAAGAUAUGGCAAAUCGGUUGUCAGAGUUACAUGCAAUAAUGAAGACACAAUUAAAGGAAGCUCAAGAACGACAAAAGAUAAACGCAGAUCUAUAUCGUAAGGAGCAACCACAGAUCAACGUGGGUGAUAAGGUAUGGCUACUUCGUUGCGAUAUCAAGACUACUCGAUCUUGUGACUAGUUGGACUAUCGUAGGCUUGGCCCCUUUUCUGUUUCUGAACAGAUCAACCCAGUUGCAUAUCGGUUACAUCUACCAGAGUCAAUGAAGAUCCAUCCUGUAUUCCACGUAUCUCUUCUUGAACCAUAUAAGACAGUGGAUAUACAAGGAAGAAGACAAAUGCCACCGCCUCCUAUAGAAGUAGAUAAUAAUGAAGAAUUUGAGGUGGAAGAGAUAUUAGACUCAAGGCGGCGCCAAAAUAAGCUGAAAUAUCUUGUUCAUUGGCGCGGAUAUGGUAUUAGUGAACGCACAUGGGAGCCAUCCAGGAAUCUAGCAAAUGCAUCAACUAAAGUCAAAGUUUUUCAUCAACAACAUCCAUCAAAACCAAGAUGAAAAUCUCUCUUAUAAAAGAGACAAGAUUGAGGCAAGAUAACAUUCAAUUUCCUAUCCUUGUUUGUAACUUCUUUGCAUUUGUGACGCUAAUUAGAUGGAGAGCCAACAACCAGCGGAUUCAACUCAAGAACCUUCGUUUGCUGACCUGUCGGAUGAGACAUUACGAUUGUCACAACCUUCAAGACGACGCAAUCGAGAUGAAGAUCUUCAAGAACGACAUGUUCUUCCUCGAACAGAUGGUGAGAUACAACGCGUUUGGUAUCACGAUUUGGGAAGGGACUCUCGAUGUUUGGUGAUUUUGCUAGAGGUAGGAAAAACUCCUGAUGGUGUUCCGAAUAUUCUAUUCGAAGGAAGUUAUGAAGGCCUCAAUAAUGAUCAAAUAACUGGGUGGUCUUCCCGCCCUGGUAUGGGACACUACCGAUGGUUGAGAGGCCCUAUCAAUCAUCUUCGAAGAGAACAGAGCUCAGAGUAUGUGGCGAAUAUAAUUCGUCGCAUCAUAGAUUUCCUCAACAUAUGAUGACCGCUCCUCGUGGAACUCGUCUCUAGAAGGGGGGGUAAUGUCACGGCCAUAAUCAUGUAAGCUAAUAAUUACAUAUAAAAAUAGGUAGAAGUAAGUAAAAGUAGAUAAAAGUAAGUUAAUUGUAUAAUAUUUAAUAUAGAAGCUUCCUAGAAACUUCUUAGAUGCUGCUUUGACUUCAUAGGUGUCUUUAAUUGACUUUUUGGAUUAGAAACGUGGUCAACAAGUUGGCCAUGUGCCACACAUGUUGUUAGCUUGAAGAUCAAGCUAACUAUGUGGCCCACACGUAGAAAAACUUGCCUUGUAAGUCAAGGCAUGUGUCCUACAAAGUCAACACAUAUUGGAGGUCCUAUAGAACGUCGCCACGUAGCCCCUAGUUAGAUAGUAUAUAUAGAGACAAGAGUGAAGGCUUCUUCACUCUUGUCAACUCCUUUCUUGCUUCUAGUUCAGGUUCAAGAGUCUUUAGUUUCUUGUCUUGUGGCAAUAGCCAUUCCAGUUUCCUUUUAAUAUACCUACUUGUUUAUAUUUUGACUUAUUAUAUCGAGAUAGCCGUUUGGUGUAUAUUUUUCCUCAUCGAGUCUUUGUUCUUGACACUAGCAAAGACAAUAUGUUUUAGAAGUUCUAUAUAAUAUCACCGCGUAGCUUUAAUUAGAGAGUAUAUAUGGAGGCAAGAGUAAAGCCUUCUUCACUCUUGUCAAUGUCUUUUUAGUUCUUUGUCUUGUUUCAAGACUUUCUAAUCUUUUUGUCUUUAGCAAUAGCCAUUCUAGUUUAAUACAUUACCAUCUUUGAGUAAUUUUUUAGUCUUUUCAAGUGACACAAGAGUGUAUUGAGAUUUGUUUUUUGAGAUUCAUGUCCUUGAUAUCAUAUCAAAUUGAAUGAAUGAUAUACAAUCUUUUAAUUGAAUUUUCAAUGAUGUAAAGCCCAAGUAUAUAUCCAUUUUAAAUACAUUUAAAGAUUCAAGAUGAUUUAAUCUAUAUCUUGAUUUUAGGUAGUUUGGUGGUUUAAAAGAAUAUAAAUAUAUGCUUUUAGAAAAAUCAAAAUAAUAAUUAUGAUAUUUUGAUUCUUAUGAAAAAUAUAAAAUAAAUUAUUAUAUUCAUUAAUAUUAAUUUUUUUCAAAGGUACUGAAUCUAAAUAUGCCAUUGGUAUUUUUUCCAAAUUUAAAUAUGAUUCUAAAUUAAGCUCUUUUAUUGAACUUAUAAAAAAUAUAAUUUUUGGUAAUUUUUUAAAUUUUAGAACAUCUUCUUAAUUCAAGUUUUAAUAAGCUUUUAGCAUUAAAAAAUGACCAUAAAAGUUUUUUGAAGAUUUUCUUUUCUUUUCUUUUCUUUUUAAUUGUAAGAUUCUCAAACUCUUAAUCCUUGUCUACAAAUAGUUUUUAUUUAGUAUGAGAAAUGCUUGAAUUAAAAAAAAUAUAUUUAUAUUUACUAAAAAAAAUAUUUUAAAUAUUUUAAAAUUAGUAUAAUAUUAUAAUAAAAUUUAAUGUAAUAUAUUAUUAAUAUAAAAAAGUAUGUAGUAUUUUGAUAUAUAUUUUUAUUUUAUUUUGCAUUAAUACAAAAACUCAAAAACCAAAGAGAUGAAAAACAAGAACAUCUAAUUUUAUUAACUAUAUUAUUGCUUUAAAUGCUAUAAAAUAAUCUUUCAAACUUUCAAAUAACAAGAUAUAAAAAAAAUUAAAGAUUUGAAUAUUGAGAUUUUUUCCCAUCAAAACUACAAUUAAAAUUUAUUUAUUUCACUAUUUUAUUAUGAAUUUAAAAACUUUAUAUAACCUAAAUAUUAUCAAAUUUUAUAUUUUUUAUAUUUGAAUAUACCUUCUUAGGUUUAUUAUUUAUAUACAUAUUAUUUGGAUAAGUUAAAUAGCAUAUCUUUGUUAAAAAUUUAUUAAUUAAUUUAAUAUUUAUAUCUCAAAUUUGUGUAGCUUUUUAUUUUACUUUAGUUUCAAAAAUCUUUUAAUCCAUAUCUCUUAAUUGAUCAUAAAAUCUUAUAUUUCAUGAAUUUUUAUUUUCAUUAAUGAUUUAUAAAUUAAUAUUUCUAAUAUUUAUUUUAUAUUUAAUUUUAAAUAAUAUUUUUAUUUUAUUCUAAAACUAAAAUUUUCUUUCUAUUAACAUGCUAUUAAAAAAUAUACUACAAAAAAUAACUUAUGUCUAAAAAUAUAUUUAUUUCUAUAAUACUCAAAAUAUCAAAGCUUACUCUUAAAUUAUUCUAAAUCUUAUAGUCACUAUUUUCUUCAUUUAAUUUUAAUUUUAAUUUUAAUUUUUGUUUUGUUUUGUUUUGUUUUGUUUUUGUUUUUUUUUCCCCUAAUCUUUGUAAAUCUUGCUUCCAACAUCUUAAUUUCUUUUCUUCUUUUAAAAAUACAUCCAUGCUUUUAAACUUAAAGAGAAGUCAUUAUAAGCUUUCACAAUUCUUUUUCCAACUUCCAUAAGCUUAGAAGUCAAUUUAUCUUAGUAUUGAAAAGAAUAAGUGACAAACAAUCAUAAACUUAAACCUUUGUCAACUUCUUCAAUGUCCAUCUUAUCAAACUUAAUAGAAAAAUGGUCUAUUGAUUUCCAAUCUCAUGUUGCUACAAUUAAUAUGCUAUUAUUGCUAGUAUGUAAUAUAUUAAUAAAAUCUAUAUAAUUCAUUUGAUUUUUAUUCUUAAUAUCAUCUGAAACCAAGAUAGUUUUAUUUAAAAAAAAAGUGAUUUCAAUAAUUUUUUUGCUUCUUCCAAUUUCUUAUCUUUUUUACAACUUUGAAUAUUUUUUAAAUGUCACUAUUUUUUAUAAUUACCAUUAUAAUAAUUAAUAUUAUCAAUAAAACAUGAAGCAUCAUAUAUAUGAUUUACAUCAUUAAAUGCAAUCUUUGUUAAUGUUGUCUUUCUAAUUCCAUCCAUACCAAAAAGAUAUAAUGCUUAUGUUUUGUUUUUAUAUAAUUGUGUUAUUUCUAAUUAGUAUUUUUUUCUUUCCAACAACUUUUCUUCAUGUAGACUAACUUACAUAAAGAAUCAAAAUUAUAGAUUAGUAAAAAAAUAUUGCAUUCAUAAAAGAAUUAAAAAUAGAUCUAAUAUAUAAUAAUACACUCUGUAAUCUAAUCAUCAUAAAAAAAAAUAAUAAAAAUUAUUAACUUAAAAAAUAUUUUAUUUUUUAACUAACAAAAUAAAUAGUCUACACUUUAUAAGUAGCAAAUCAUUAUCUAUAAGUUAAAGAAGUACCUUUUUAUGGACAUUUCUUUUGGAUGUAUCUAAAAAUAAUUCAUUAAUACCUCAAUUUUUAUACAAAAUCUCUCUCUUUAUAAUAAUGAAUCUUUCAAAAAUAUCUAGAAAUAUUGGCCAUAGUGAAGGAUCUUUAUUCAAACAACCUUUGAUCAAUUAAGUCAAUCUUUUCUGAUUUGGAGGUAAUUUUGGUCUUUUGUUAUUUUUAGUUUUUUGUGAUAUUUUCUUUUUUGUUUUAAUACCAUCAAAUGGUUCUUUUUUGGUAAGAAUCUUAAAACAUACCAUUGCAAAGGAAUUAACAUUUGCUUCAAAAACAUAUUUUUGAAUAUGUAUCUCAAGAGAAAUAUAUUUAAUAGUUCCAUACAUAUUAUUCGUUUCAGUUGUUGGUUUUCUUCUAACCUUAAUAUUUAACAUUUCAAAAUCAAUCAAUUUAAAGACAUGUUAUUGAAUCAUCUUAAUAUCUUUUUUUCUACAAAUUUGAUAAAUAUUAGCAUUGUCUUUCAAAGCACAAAAAUAUUUAAUGAGGUUUGGAUGAGUAAGACCAUCUAAACUGCUUAUGUCUUUAAUAAAAAAAUUAUCAUAUGGAAUUUUCAUUAUUUUAGUUGCACUUAAAAGUUUCAACCAUUUAGGUUUAUAGACUUCUCCACAAGAUCCUCCAGUUAUGUGUUUUAUAAUUUGUAGACUUUUUAUAUUAAUUUAAGGUUCCAAAGCAUCUAAUUCUCUACCCUAACUAUAAUCAAAGCCCUCAAUUUUUUUCAAGAGUUGCUUUGCUAAUUCACAAGUGUAAAGAUUUUCUUUUAGAAGCUGCAUGAUUUUUUCAUCUUCCACACCAUGAAAUGUUGCAGCAUAAAAAACAGAUGAUGUAAUACUUUCAAAUUUGUCUUCAUAGUAUUUUGAAAGAAUAUCAAUUGCAACAUCACAACAGCACUUUAAAUCCAAAUGUAAUUCUCUAAAAGUUGCUUUGAUUUGUUCUUCCAUUAUGACAUCUUAACACCAAUUUUAUUUCUCCACAAUCUACUGCUCCUGGUUAAUGAUCAAUCAACACCGACAACACGCCAUCACCCAUCACCUUUCUCAACCUUCAGUUCCCUACGUCUGCAAAUCACAUCAUUGCGGAAUAACACAAUAUACCACAUCCCGUCCAACAUGUGUGCGUGCAAUGAGUUAUGGCCGAAGCAUUCGCAAGACGACAUAGCCAUGCACAGACAUAGUAAACAGUGACUUGCAGCAGGUGUGACUCUUUCACGUAGCCUGCGACAUAGGCAUCGAACGGCACAAAGGUCAUCACGGCCAAUCAGAAAACAAUAGCGAGAAAAUCUUCAAAAAUCAAACGGAUUGCCAUUCGGAGCAACCAAGAACAUAAAACCAAGAGAAAGACAGAGAGUGCAGAGCCAAGUGAUGCAACUGCUCACCGAAGUGCAGAAAGAUAUGAGGCUGAUUAAACCUUGAUACAAACCCUUACCGACACUUUCACUGGAAACGAAGCAACUGUCGAUUGAAUCCAUCAAAUCCUUACCGAUAACAGCACUAGAAACGAAACAACUGUUGAUCCAAUCCGUCAAACCCUUCCCGACGCAUGUACUGCAGGCCACGUUUUAGUUAAUCCGAACCGUCAGAGUGAACUCGCUGCGCUCACGGCUUGAUCCCACCACGUCCUCACAAGCCAACUCCGUGCUCCGAAUGGGUUGAGACAGCUAACUAUCUUAUGAGGGAACACACGGAGCAGAAUGAGAUCUCUACCCGCUACUCCAGCCGCAACACCUUUCGCUCGGAACAGAGCAGCAAUUCAACGUGUGGGCAUGCGUAGUAGUGAGAGAUGCGCAGGGGUUUCGGCGUGGGGAGGGAGAGGUAUGACACGAUUAACCAGUGUUUGGAACAAGUCACCCCAAUUAUCAGAAGGCGACAAGUUGUAGGAUCUUAUUCAAUGAAGGAACGAUACACCCACACCAACGUCCACUGCAUCCAUCCAGGUCAAGUAUAGACUACCUUACCUGAAGGAAGCUCGCAGGAGGGGACUGUGGGUAUAGCAGGGAGCCUGAGCAUUCACAUUCUCUCACGGGACGAGCGAAACAUUAUCUCACAGGAUCUUGUAUAAUUGACAAUGUGCCUGUUGUCAAUCGAUGUGACUUCUGUCACCAAGGCAUGAGAAACCUCGAACCGAUGAUUACUAGCUCAUGCGGACAGGCGCAUGUGUUAAGUCUAUGGCAGUGAUCACGUAUUUGUCUACUCAUGUUUAACAUCUGUUACGUCUGAGAUUAUGUUCCUGCUGAUAGAGCCGAGGCAAGCAAUGUGUACAUACGCGCAAAGUUUCACGACUUGGGUGUGCUCAUGUGGGGUACUCAUAGUGGGGGUACAAUUGUCCGCCCGCAUGCUAAAAUACUCCAUAAACGGGGUGCAGGCCAGUGUUCCCGCUAGCUCAGUUGACAUUGAGGGAAGCAGUUUUUUUUGGUGCAGGUAAUCAUAAAUGAAAUCAUUCUGAACUUGCUGGACAUUCCUCCUACUACAAUGUCUGUUUGGUGUGAAGACAGAUUGUUUAUGCAGUAUUUCUUCUUUUGAAUGGCACAUGUGAUGUAUCUUUCAGUAAAGACUAUGUUUUGCUACUUGAAACAUCUACUAAGCGUGUUGUGGUGUGUUAUCAGAGAUUUAUAUCAUUGCAAAUUCUUCGACCAUCUUGUGUUCCUUUAAAAGAAGGCGUUUUUGUUGUUUCACCACUGCACUGAGACAUCAAGAACAACUUGUCCUUUGGAUCCAGUACUAAUUUAGAGCUAGACAGUAGUAGUCGGCUGAAGAUAAUUUCUGGCAACGCCAACCCAUGCCUUGCUCGAGUACUUCAUCAUGUGAUUUUUUGUCUUUACUAGAUCAUUAGAGUUCUUUCCUUAAGAACCAAAGCAGGUGGAGGAAAUUCUGUAAAGCCUUACAUGAUUCCAAUACUUAAUGAUGGCUUCUUUUUUCUUCGUCCUCGUGCUCUACGUUGAUUAUCAGGAGGAGGUCUCAACUCGAUCACAAUUUGAUGUACCAGGACGAGCCUGCUGGUGGCAUUGACAGGCAUGUUUAGAUUCCGUAGAAGGGUCGCACUGAUACACUUUACUUAAAAAAUGUCUACUUGCUUGAAUCGUAUAUGCUAGAUGACGUGCACUAAAGCUGUGGAAGUGUGCACUCUUAUUACAUCUUCCAUAGCCACACUAUUAGAAUCAUAGGAUAAUUUUAUAAAUAAUAAUUCAAGUUAAUACACAGUAAACACUGUGUUUAUACAUGAUUGAUCCAGCGAGGGUGGUGCAACUGGAACGUCGCGAUGCCUCGCUGGAUGAGUUCCUGCCGUUGCUUCAAACGGUUACUUCUACAAUUAUGGUUCACAAACUAACUGUUCUAAUACACCCUCUAAACCAUAUCGUGGUGAGGCUGCGGUUGCUCAUCCAAGCAAACCUAGUAAUGGCAGGUGCUAGGCGAGCUUCGGUCCACACAACAAUUUCGUAAAUAAAUUUGUCAUUAUAUCAUGUGUGGAACAGUAUCGAAACAAGACUUUGUUGAGUGCGGAUAAUUGCCGAAUGAAGUGAUGUCGAAUGUCGAUAUGCUUUGUUCUGGAAUGGAAUUUCGUGGUGUCCACGAGGGCAAGAGCCGACUGAUUGUCGCAAUAGAUAACCAUAGGUGUAGUUAGGGUUUCAAACAGAGAGAGAUCAUGCAGUAGAUGUUGUAGCCACGCCAGCUCAGCAGUGGCCAUGGCCAUGUACUCCGCCUCUGUGCUGGAGAUCGCAAUAGAUCUUUAAUGAGAUGAGCUGUAGUUGACCACACAUUUCAACAAUAGUAAAGAGUAUCUGGAGGUAGAGUGCCAUUCAUCCAGGUCGCCAAUCCAAUUUGAGUCAAGAAUCCAUAUAAUGGUGCAGGAGAUUGCAAAUCUUGGCAAUACUCAAGAUAAUAGUCCACCAAGCCCUGUAAGUAAUGGAAGGCAUGCUUAUGGGCCUGCAAAUGGGUCAGGCCCAGAGCAUGCAUAUAUUAGUUCAACAUAGUGGUCACAAAAGAAAGGUUGGGCCACAUGCUAAUUGUGGCCUAAUUCAAGGACCCUACUGUGUUAGCAUAUGAGAAUUCAUUUGGUUAGCGAGGGGCAUCCUUGAUGAUUGGACAAUUCAAAGAAGAAAGCUUAAUUUCCAGGGCGAGAUGAGUGGUUACAGGCUUGGGCUCAAAAAAUCCAAUUUCUCAAAUUUUUGGGUGAUGUAAUGCAAUUGAGACAUGCAAAACAAACCUUGGAUGUAGUCACAAAUGAUUUUGAGAUUCAAGUCACAAAUGAUUUUAAAAGAGAUAGUUGGAAGAGAUCUAUGGAAUUCAAGCAAUGUAUAGAUGAUAAUAGAAAAGAGCUAGUAUCACCUAGUGCAAAAAGUAGAACAACUUGCAUACCAUAUGAAUCAUUAAUGAUUAACUCAUGACUAUCAAGAGCAUUCAAAGAAGAAGGGAUUUCAAUGCUAUUAAAAGGAUGCUUUGCAAAAAGAUUGCCAAGGUGGUGAGAAGGAAGCUUUGCUAAAGGAAUGUCAAGGUUGCCAAAAGGAAUUUGAGGAGGAUCAAAAGGAACAAUAAGUAGGAGAACAAAAACUUGGACUAAGAAAAAACAAGAUUGACCAUUGAGAUCAACCAUAGUGGACGGAGACAAUGGACAAAUAAGAAACAUUGGUCCAUAGUCAAUGUAUGUAGGCUUCAAAAUAGAAGAGCACAUAAGUUGAAAAAUAUACAAAUCUACUCAAAUACUUUUAUUAGCAAGAUUGAAAAGAUAUGUAUUAGAAUGAGAAUAAAUCACAUGCUCUUCCUGAAAUACAACAUCUUUUGAAAGAAGAAGCACUUCAUUGGUGAUUCUUUGAAUCUUAUAUCUUUUACUAAAGAAGGUAUAACCAAGCAAUAUACAUUCAUAAGUUUUAUUGUGAAGUUUAAUACAAAGCAGAUUCAAAAUCUUUAUAAAACAUUGACUUUCAAAGACUCAAAGGUAAGUAAUAUUCAAUUUUUGAUUAUACCAUAAUUUAAAAUAAAUUUUGUCAUUGGAGAUCUUUUUAAUAGAACAAUGAUUUUGAAGAUAUGUAGUUCAUAUAACAACUUUGUCUUAGUAUGGUUUUGAUAAUUUAGCUUCAUAGAGUAUAUAUCUACUAGCAUUGAGCAGAGUAUGGUUUUUUUCAUUUCCAAUGCCAUUUUAAUAAGGAAUAUAUGCCAUGAUAAGUUGAAGUUGACAUUGAAUACCAUGAAUUCCCAAAUAUUGAUCAAAAUUAGAAGAGAGGUAUUUUCUUCUUUGAUUGGAGCACAGAACUUUGAGUUUGUAACUUAUUUGAUUUUUUGCUCAUAUAUGAAAUAUUUUGAAUACAUUGUCGUAUUACGUGCUAUCUUGCUUGAGAACGCAUCGGGCAUCUGGCUGUGGAAGAUAAAACGAUGUUUUGUAAGUAUUCAAGUAGUCUAGUGGGUUUCAACCAUCUAAAUACAAACUAUUUCAGAUUUCAAUGUAAAAGCUUAAUCCCAAUACAAAGUGCUUAGAAACAUUAUUUUUAAUAACUUCAAGAUAUUAUAAGCACAAAUUCUUUUGUUAUUUGUUAGUUUUAUUUUAUUUUAUUUUUAUAAGUAUUAUUUUAUUUUAUUUUAUUUUAUUUUAUUAUUUAUUUAUUUAUUUAUUUAUUUAUUUAUUUAUUUAUUUAUUUAUUUAUUUAUUUAUUUAUUUAUUUAUUUAUUUAUUUAUUUAUUUAUUUAUUUAUUUUUAAUUUUUAAUUUUUAAACCCUAAACCUAGACUGCGAGCUUCGGCAAGCUGUAAUUCUCAAUUUGAUCGUCCGAUUGUUAUAAAACUUCUACCACUAGUGUCUUUGCAAGUCUUUUAAAUGCUCAAGAAGUUUCAAUCUAAUUUAACAGAUAGAUUGCAAGAAAACACUAUAAAUCCACACUGAUGUCUCUUGACCGUCGCCUAGAAAAUUGAUGACGAACUUUGAAUUGCAAUUUCUCCUUUUCCAACCGUUAAUUCUCAUUCAACUUUGUGUAUAGCUCCGCCAUUAAGUCCUCAACUUAACAAAUUAAAAUUCACCUUAUUUCAGUCGAUAAAUCUCCAGAUAUUAUAGAAAUCCUAAACAACCCCAAUAUGCCGACUUUUGAUAUCUCUUUACACUAAUGACCAAAUAUCCUCUAUCCACACUGUUAGAUUAAUACAAAUUUUCACAUGCUCUUGGCAUACUCAACCAUCUAGACAUUUCUAAAAUUUCAACCACAUGUCACGGACACAGAAUACAGACUUGAUAUCUACCAAGAAGUUCAAGAAGAACUGGCAAGAACUAGAUUAAUCAGAUGAAUACAAGAACAACACCAAAGAGGUGAGCUAGAGCUCCAAGAGAUGUGUUGUCGAGACUGAAGAACUCUUCAGCCUCGAUUCCAAUAUAUACUCCUAUUUAAGAAGCUUCUCAAGUAACUUCUACCAACUAGGAAGCUUCUAGAAGGUUCCAGACACUUGCUUCUAGAAGGUUCUAGAAACUUAUCUCUAGAAGGUUCUAAGGACUAUGUCCCCAACAUCUUCUACCAACUAAGAAGCUUCUAGAAGGUUCCAGAGACUUGCUUCUAGAAGGUUCUAGAAACUUGUCUCUAGAAGGUUUUAGAAGCUUGUCUCUAGAAGGUUCUAAGGACUAUGUCCCUAACAUCACCCCCUCCUUUAGCUUCGAGGUCUCUGAGAAGCAAUGUUGUUGUCAAUCAGUACCAAUGCAAGAAAAUGAAGAUCUGUCGCAUAACGUCUGCUAUGAACUCCAACUGUUGUUCAUGAGGUAAGUGAUUCAUCGGCCCUUGAAGCCAACGGUAGUGGCCCACUCCUUCAACUUCUGACCAAGCAUGAACUUCUGUGUCUUCAUUGUGAAAUUGUCCUGCAAAUAUGCCUUCUGGUUGACCAUCGUAAGCAGGCUCGGACUCAAAUACAAUCACCAGUGAUCGGUUACUUGGUAUCCUCCGUCGUCGUCAUAGUACAAGUGGUUCUUCAUCUCGGGGUCGCCUUCGUGAACUAGUUGGUUGAGAUAAUCUGACUGACAUAAUAUCUAUCUCUUGGCUAUCCAUAUCAGAAGACCAAACUAUGGCUACUGAAAAAAUUCUAUUUUAUCUUGGAGAAAAUAACUACAUCAACUACGAAUUUUGGUGGUGCUCUCUCUCUUUCUUAUAUUCUUGGGUGAGCAAGCUUCAAAAAGAAGCUAUUGUCGAACCGGCUUAGGUUUAUGAGGAUGUUGUUGAUGAAACUCCUGUACCUUUUGCGGCGCAUUGGUGAGAUUUUCAGCUGGCUCCCACGUUCGCUCAUUAAUGUCGUAGCCGCACCAAUGAACAAGAUACUCCAACUUGCCCCACCUUCGCCGAGAAUCCAGCACCUUUUCAACCUCGUAUUCCUCGUGGUUCUUGAUCUCAAUACUAGGUGGCAAAUAUUGCACUCUUCCAAGAAAAGAUGACUCUCGAUAAGGCUCCAACAAAGAAACAUGAAAGACUGGAUGUACCUUCAUAGAAGCCGGUAAUUCCAAACAAUACACCACUGGAUUGAUUUGCUUUUGGAUGAUAAAUGGUCCCAAUCUUCGAUAGUCCAACUUAUCACAUGGUCACUUGGUCUUGAUAUUCCGUCGAAGAAGCCAUGCUUUAUCUCCAAUUUUGAAAGUAGGUGCUUGAUUCCGAAAUCUAUCUGCAGACGCCUUGUAGGAUUCUUGAGCGGAUUGUAAUUGAAGCUUCAACGUAUUUUGAAGCUUUGAUAGUUGUUUCGCAAAUCUUUCAGCUGCUAGAUUGUUAUUUGUUGAUGGACUCAAUAAAUCAUGCUUUGGAUGAUACCCAUAGUUGGAAAAGAAUGGUGUGUAUUGAGUCGAUGCAUGGAGGGUGUUAUUAUAUGCAAACUCGGCUAGUGGCAGAUAUGUGGUCCAAUCGUCUUGUUGAUAGUUGAUGUUGCAUCGUAAGUAUUGUUCCAAGACUUGGUUCACUCGUUCCGUUUGAUCGUCAGUUUGAGGAUGAAAAGUCGAAGAAAGCUUGAUAUCCACCUUCAGUAUCUCAAAGAGAGAUCUCCAAAACUUUGAUACGAACUGGGUUCCUCGAUCUGAUAUGAUAUCAUCUGGUAGUCCAUGAUAUCGAUACACAUUAUCGAGAAAGAGCCUUGCUGUGACUUCACUGGACGAUGUCUUCUUGUAAGGCACAAAGUGUGCCAUUUUUGUAAGCCGAUCUACCACGACAAAGAUGCUGUCAAAUGAGUUCGAUGAUGGCAGGUCCGUGAUGAAGUCCAUGGAAAUUGAAGACCAUGGUCGACGUGGAAUCGGCAAUGGCUGUAGGAGUCCAUAAGGGCGAUGCCAAGGAUUCUUGGAUCUUGAACAGAUGUCGCUGGAGAGGACAAAAUCUUUCACAUCCUUCCACAUUUAGGGCCACCAAAAAUCUCGAGAAAUAAGCUCCAAGGUCUUAUUGAAUCCAAAAUGUCCUGCAGCUGGAAAAUCGUGGCGAGAUUGAAGAACUCGGAGUCGUGCUGGUCCUUUUGGGAUAUAUAACCGCUCUUCAAAAUAUAAAAGAUCUCCCUCCACCUUGAACUUGUCGUCAUUGGCACGCUGCUUAAUAUCAAUGGCUAUUGAAUCUUCAAUGGUUACGACACGUACCUGAUUUAGGAAGUCAGCAUCAAUUGGCAUAAUAGUAGCGCAAAGCUGAAAUUGCUCUGGCUUCAAUAAUGUCAUACAUUGUUGAUCAAAUGCUGCUUCUCCAGCCUUUGGUACAAGAUAUGAUCUCCUCGAUAAGGCAUCAGAUAGUCCUUUCUACUUUCCAGGUCGAUAAGUGAUAAUAAAAUCGAACCUAGAUAGCAACAUACUCCAUCGAGCUUGACGUCGAUUUAAAACUCGAGCCGACAUGAAAUACUCCAAAUUCUUGUAAUCUAUAUAUACGGUCACUAGAUGUGUAGCUCUUUCAAGAAAGUGACGCCAUUCUUGGAAAGAAUCCACUAUAGCUAGAAGUUCCUUAUCGUGGAUCUCAUAAUUGAUUUUAGCAGCAGAGAACUUUCAAGAAUAGAAUGCAACCAGAUGGAGCUUCUUUUCUUCUCCCAUUUGUGAAAGUACAACUCCCAAGGCAAAAUCCAAAGCAUCAGUUUCUAAAUAGAUGGCCUUUGUAAAGUCUGGAUGUACCAAGAUUGGAGCCAUAGUAAAUGCGGUCUUCAAGUUUUGAAAUGCCUUCUCUGUUAGAGGUCCCCAUUCCAGCUUAUCCUUGCAUGUAAACCGAGUGAGAGGAGCAGCAACUUGAGAGUAAUUCUUGAUAAAGAUCCGAUAGAAGUUGGCAAAACGAAGAAAGCAUUGUACGUCUUUAACCGUCUUCGGAACCUCCUCGGACACGAUUGCUUCCACCUUCUUGGGGUCCAUCUUCAAGCCUUCCGUAGUUGCAAUGAACUCCAAAAAUUCCAUCUCUAUUUGGUGAAACAAACACUUUUCUAACUUGGCAUAUAGUCCUCACUCGCGUAGUUUCUCCAAUACCAAACGAACGUAUUUUUCAUGCUCUUCUUCAUUUUUGGAGAAUAUCAAAAUAUCAUCCAAAUAGAUGACAACAAAAUCGUCAAGGUACUCUCAAAAAAUGUCAUUCAUCAUAUGUUGAAAGACCUCUGGAGCAUUGGUAAGACCAAAGGGCAUGACAUUAUAUUCAAAAUGGCCAUACCUUGUACGGAACGUUGUCUUCCAUUCAUCUCCUUCCUUGAUUCGUACGAGGUUGUAAGCUUCCCUUAGAUCAAUUUUUGUAAAGAUUCUUGCACAUCCAAGGUGUUCUAAGAGACCAGAAAUCAAGGGUAACGGGUAACGAUUCUUCUUUGUUACCUUGUUGAAGCCUCGAUAGUCCACGCACAUCCGCAACGAGCCAUCUUUCUUCUUCACAAAUAAGAUAGAUGCUCCAGCUGACGAUUUUGAAUGACGGAUGAAGUUCUUGGCUAGAUUCUUGUCGAUGUACUUUCGCAACUCCGCCAACUCCAUCUGUGAUAGAUUGUAGAUUGGGCCAAAAGGCGGUUGUGCUCCUUCCUGUAAGUCUAUGGCGCAAUCAUAUGGUCUAUGUUCCGGUAGCAUGUCGGCAUUUUUCUUUUGAAACACGUCUUUAAAAUCCUUAUAUUGCUCCGAUAUACUUGCUGUCGAGAUCUUCUCCCCGGUAGUUGGAGCCGCAUAAAUGACAAACGGUGUGCCUCCCUUGGACAAUCUUAUAAAUGCUCUUGCUCCAAUAAAUAAGGAUUUCUCUAUUCGGGGUUUUCUACUAGGCUUGCUCUUGGGUGGUUUUGUGGGAAAGGUCAUCUUUCGCAACUUCCAAUCUAUGGAUGGGUUAUGCUUUUCCAACCAGGAAAGACCAAGACUAACAGAAUUUGAUGGGAUUCUAAUAAUAUUGAAAAUAAUAUGACUACUAUGGUCCUUAAACGUCACUUCUAUAGGUUCUGAUUCAUGGAUGAGACUACCUGACAAUAAAGGUCGUCCAUCUAUGACCUCGACGUAAACAGGUUUGGAUUUUUGUACUAAAGGGAUCUUAUGACGCUUUGUAAAUUCUUCGUCUAAGAAACAAGCAGAUGCUCCUGAAUCUAAUAAUGCUAAGGUUCUCAGUUUUUGAGGGCCAAUAAACAAAGGGAUUGUAAAACAAAGGGCAGGUUGAGCGAAAAGAAAGGAACCUGGUUGUUGUUGCGAUAUUUCACUGUCCAACCGCACGGUUCCUAUUGUGGCUGGGCAUCCUCGUUUUCCUGAAUAAACGUGCCCCUAGUCUUGAUAAUACGUCGAUUUUGCUUCUUGGGGCAGUUUCCAACUUUGUGGCCUUCUUCACCGCAAUACAAGCAUAGACCUUCCUCCAUACGCCGCUUUUUUUCUUCCAGGGUAAGAGAUUUGACAUGUAUCGCAUCAAUUUGCAUGUCUUCUACCUUUGAAUGUGAAUUCACGCUCCUUGCCGACAUAGUUGGGGUGUGGCGAACCGUAUGUUGUCUUGAACGUUGGUCUUGGCGACGUUGGAAUAGGCGGUUAUCGCACUUCACAGCUUGGCUAAUAGCUUCGUUGAGCGUUUGCGGAUCAGGAAGAGUUAACAGCAAAUCCUUCACAUCGUCCCUUAAAUCCCAAUAGAAUUGACUCAUCAACGCUUCUUCGUCCCAAUUGAUGUCGCAUGCUAAUUGCCUGAAGUCCGAUGCAUAGACUGAUGUAGAACGCAUCCCUUGUCGUAGUGAUCGGAUCUUUGUUGUAGCCCAUCGAACCUUGUCGUGUUCACCAAAUGCUUCCGCAAACGCCUCCAAAAAGGUUUCAAAGUUGUUUAAUAUGGACGAUCGUUUCUCAAACAAAGGAGCAAACCAUGAUAGAGCUUGUCCUAUAAGUAAGGUUCCAACAAGCCCAACACGUGACUCCUCCGUUGGAUAGCGUUCGGGUUGUAAAACUGUUAUCAACCUGAUUUGGUUGACGAAUCCUCGAAAUUUGGAACGUGUACCAUCGAACUUGUCCAGAAGGCUAACUCGGGGUUCCUUAUGUUGUAGAAUCAGUGGUGCUUGUCGAACUUGAGGCAAAGUUGCUUCUCCAAGUGUAGAAGUUUAAGGCUGGUGCAACCUAGAUUGUGCCAUCCCAGAUGCUCCAUCAUUAUGAAGUCUUGCCACGACUCCUUCAAUCUUUGCAGUUCUUUGCGAUAACGUAGCGAGGGCAUUCAUGAUAGCAUCUAACUUGGACUUUGAACUUUUCGUCAUACUAAUGUCUUAGCCCCCGACCAUUCUAAGAGAAGGACAGAAAUGACUCUACAAGAAGACAGUAUUGGUUUAGAGGAGGGUACUCCGCAACCUCUAAAAUGCCUUAAGAGCUUCAAGAAAAGGGGUAAUCCACUCUCUCCAAGAAGAAUAAGACUCCAAUAUUGCAACAAAAGAAGUAUUAAUUUAGAGGAGGGUAAUCCGCAACCUCUAAAGUGCUAGUACACUUCCAAGCAGAGGGAUAAUCCACACUCUAACAAAGAAGAAACUAGCUCUGAUAUCUGAGGUGAGUGAAGUCUCGACAAAUUGUCACGGACACAGAAUACAAACUUGAUAUCUACCAAGAAGUUCAAGAAGAACUGGCAAGAACUAGAUUAAUCAGAUGAAUAGAAGAACAACACCAGAGAGGUGAGCUAGAGCUCCAAGAGAUGUGUUGUCGAGACUGAAGAACUCUUCAGCCUCGAUCUCAAUAUAUACUCCUAUUUAGGAAGCUUCUAGAAGGUUCCAGAGACUUGCUUCUAGAAGGUUCUAGAAACUUGUCUCUAGAAGGUUCUAGAAACUUGUCUCUAGAAGGUUCUAAGGACUAUGUCCCUAACACCACAGAUGUUUCUCUAAUUUUACAAAAUAGUUAAGAGUACUAGCCUUAACUUUAUUGAAAAAAAAUCCAAAUCACCAAUACAAACACUAACUUUGAACAACGAUUGCAAAGUCUUUCCAAAUCCUAUGAAAACCAAGUCUCUUAUUUUUUGAAGGAGCUUGAAGCUAACUCUUCAACCUCAAAAUCCCGAUCUCUUAAUGCCCUCUUCUUUUUCCUCUAUUUUCCUUUAAUUCCAUGAGGUCCUCUAUUCUUCCGCCCUGGACUCGGAAUUGGAACAACAGACUGCGCUUCUAUGGAAUUCCCUCCUCUAAGAAGAUCUUCCCACAAAAAAGACGUUUCUCCCAAACGGCAUAGAAAACAGAAUAGCUUGAAAUGGAACUGAAGCCUCCGUAAUCGGGAUCUCAUUGGGUUGCCCAACCGAAUCAGGUCUCAUACUAGGUAAGAGGCCCAUAACAGGACUUUGAUUGGAUGUCCUUGUAAUUGGGUCAAAUUGGCCCUUCGCAUUAGGCUCACCCAAAUAUUGAAUUAGUCCUUUCUCAUUUUCUCAACUCUUAGUAAAAAUGGCUUAGACACAUUCCACCUGAUUCACUAGAGUAUCUUGAAGACCUCGAUUUAUCUCCUCAAUUUUUCCAAGGCUUUGGAUCUAUUGAUCCUGAUUAUUGAAAUUGAACGGAGCAUUAUAUUGCUGAUAAGUAUACCUCGACUAUUUGCAAUUUCCACACAUUGGCAUAUAAUCGUCACUGGCUCUGGGAUUGGGAUAUUCAAUAGCAUAAUGAUCAAUAUGUUUGUAACAAAAACAACGAAGUGGUCUUCUUGCACCUUCCAUCAGGCAUAUUGGGUGUCUCCACCGAUAUAUAUCUACUAGGUUUGUUCCAUGUAGGGUUAGAAAAUGAUCCUAGUUGCCCCACUGGUACGAAGGGUACUUGGUUUGAUGAUGCUGGUGGAGCAUUUUGCUGAUGUCACGUACGGUGAUAUAGCUUGUAAUAGAGUGACAUUAACUGGCCCCUGAAUAUUGGCACAGGAAUUGGCCACUGUUUCUAACAUCCAAGAUGAUUAAAUAUUAAUAAAAUCUUUUUCAUUUAUAUUUUCACCAUAUAAUUGUGUUAUAACACAACAAUGUGAAAGUAUUUACUCUUGUAAUUAAGAAGUUAGAGCAUGGUAUAAAAUAAAAAAAAUCAUCAAUAAAUGUGACAUAAUAUUCAAACUUGGAGAAAGUGGGUGAGAUGAUACGGCCACUUAAAUCUGAAUGAAUUAAUUGAAGAAGUUGAGUAGCUCAAUUUGUAGUCACUUCUAGGAAUUUUAUCACAGUUUGCUUUCCAUGAAGACAUAUUGGAUAUAAGUAUUGAAGAACUUACUUAAUAGAUAAGUUCAUAAUAGACUUAUUAGUGAUAACUUAUUGUAAACUUUUGGUACUAAUAUGCUUCAACUUGCGAUCCUACAAAUGAAAAGAAUUUUUUUGAAAUAGUAUAUAAUUAUAGUUUGGAAGAGUAUUAAUUGAAUAGGUAUAUACUACAAAAGAAAAUUGCUUGUGAGGAGUGUCUUUUAAGUGCUAAUAUGGUAGAAACUCCAUUUUUUGUUGUCAUGAAGUAGAACUAGGACCACCAUGAGUUGAAAAAAAGAAGUUGGGAGUCGAGUUGAGGGCAAGUUCUAUGAGCUUGCACCACCAAGUUUUAAUAGGAUACAAUAUUAGGUCAAUGCUCUAAAGAAGAUCAGAGGACUUGAGGCCAAAUUCAUUGUUCUAAGUAGACUCAUAUAAACAAGAGUGUUGUAAAAGUAUAUAUGGAAGUAAAGUUAUUCACGCUAGAAGCAAGGAUGGAUUCUUUUGACUAAUGGAAAUUGCAAUAAUAUAAAAGUUAAUAAUUGAGUAGUAAUCAAUAGUCAAGUUGUAGUCUAUUUUGUUGUUAUGUAAUAUUAUAUCGCCAAGGAUGUACAAAUGAUUUUGAAGUAGGCAUAAGGCUAUGGUAGAAUUAUCUUCAAUAAGAAGUCUACACAUACAAUUUUUUUUAUUGAUAUGCCACUUCUUCUUACAUUAUGAUCAGUGAUAAAAAAUAAAUUCUUAUGUAGAUUAGAGAUGCAUAAUAUAUUAAUGAUCUAAAUGGUAUCUCUAUUGAGUAUAGAAAUAUUCAUAUUGCCUUAGCUAUAAAUUAAAAGAGUAUUAGCAUUGCCAAUGUGCACUCAAUUUUUUUUUUGGGAUAAAGGUUCAAAAUUAAUAAAUUGGCUUUUAUUGUGAGCCAAGUAAUGAGUUGCAUACGUAUCAAUAAAAUAUAUAAGAUCUUUUCUUGCACCCAAUUUGGACAAUUUUUUGGAACAAUAUGCUUGUAUAAGAUAAAUAUAAGCAUAAAAGAAUGGAUGUAUUUUUUUGAUGUUUUUUAUUUUUAUUUUUAUUUUUGAUUUUCAUGAGUUGUUAUUGCUGUGUUGGUUGAUGGCUUAUACUUAUUGGUUUUUAUAAAAAUUAAUCUCCAAUAUCCCAUUUUCUAACAAUGUAGACAUGGCGUUGUCCAUUUUGACUUAUUAAUUAAAUACCAACCAAUAACAAUUCUAAGAUCCUCUUAGAGUUGAUUGCAAGUGUCUACUAGUCCAAAUCAAGAAGGAAAGAACCUACUAACAUAGCAAAGAAUAAUAUUGCAUACAUCAAUAUAAGCAAUACUAUUAUUUACAAAGAUUAAAAAUAAAAUAAAAUAAAAAGUCAAUUAAAAAUAAAUGAAUUUAAACAAGACAUCACAACUUCAACUUGGAUAUUCAAGCUUGUGAUCAAUGAAGAAAGACGACCUAAAAACACCAACCUCAUUGACAACAACACUAUCAAUUUGGAAGAUCCCUUUGACAUUCAUCAAAAUGGUAAUAAACUAAAACGUAGCAAUAUACCAAGUUCCAAUAAUCAGAUGUGGCUAUUGCAUAAAAGAGAAGGAGAACUAUACAAAGUUAUUUGACUCUAAUGGUAGAAUUUGAUUGAUUAAUUGAGUAAUUUAAGAAGAGUAUAGAGUGAUUUAAUUAAAAAUUAAUUAGAAAUAAUUGAAUUUGAAUGAAUUUUUUAAAAUUGAAUAAAAAUUAUUUAGAUUAAUUUUUAUACUUGGAUGAAUUAUUAUAUUUAGAUGAAUAUUCAUUCAAUGAUGAGUUCAUAUUGAUGAAUGAAUAUUAAUUCAAAAAAAUAAAAAAUAAAAAUAAAUUAAAUUAAAAAAUAUCAUUAUGAAAAGAAAAUUUUGGGCAUGCUUCUUAUGAAUGACUUAUCAUAAUAGGUAUGAUUUAAUGGUAGAAGUUGAUUGAUUAAUUGAGUGAUUUAAGAAGAAUAUAUAUUGAUUUAAUUAGAAAUUAAAUAGAAGUUAUAACUUAUGAAAAUUAUAUAAUUAAUUUAUUUAUUAUAAAUUUAAAAAAUUAUUCAAGUAAUGGAGGUUAUUUGUCUUAUACUUGGGAAAAUUAAGGAGAUUAAGGGUGAAUUACUCACAAUUUAAAUAAAAACUAAUUUCUUUUAGGAUUUCUACAAUUAAUUCAUUAGUAGUGAACUAAAAUAAACUUUCAACUAGUUGAGAUUUAUUAUAACUCAAAGGUAAUAAUGUCACUUGAAGAAUAGAUAUUUUUAAGUGCAAGCCAAGAUUUAUUAGCCAUUUUGCAUGCUCUAACAUGAAAAAUUAUCGAAUUAUCUAUAAAAUUCUAUAUGACAUUUAAUGUACCAUGAUUUUGGUUUUUCCACGUGGUAAUUAUAACUUAAUUAUUUGGUGAUGUCAACAUUUUCAUAUUUUCUUCUAGCAUUGGUGUUGACUCUUUGUCUUUGCUAGAUACUAACUUCCAUAAUUCUUCAAUUUUGAAUUUCAUUUGAAUUUUCUUUUUUCAAAUUGUAUACGAAGAGCUAUCAAAUUUUGGUAAUGUUUUAGUUAAAAGACUAUUUUUAGUUAUUUUGAAGAAAAGAUAAGAUUAUUGGUGCUCCAAUUUCUAUGACAAAUUUCUUCUUCAAAGUUUUUUUUUUCUUGUGAUUAUUUAAUAUUUUUUUAGAAUUUUUUAUAUCAAAAACUAAUUCACAAAAUUAUACUAUGAUAUCUUAUUAGAAUCAUAAAAUAAAUUUAUAAAGAAUAAUUUAAGUUAAUGUACCAUAAACAUUAUAAUUAUACAUGAUUGAUCUAGUAAGGGUGAUAAGACUGGAACAUCUCAAUUCCUCACUAGAUGAAUUCUUACCAUUGCUUUAAAUGGUUAUUGUUACAAUUAUGGUUAAUGAACUAAUUUUUCUAUUACACACAACAUUGGAGGUAAAUGUGUCUUUGUGUCCAAUUGAAGUGUAUCUCUAUAUGUGAAAUUUUUUAUUUAUUGUUUCUACUUUCAUAAUAAUUUUGCAUAUUACAAUUGUUUUAUUGUUUAUAUUUCAAUCUAAGAACAUGUACUCUAAUAUAUUAAUGUGGUUGUUGUCACUCAAUGUUCUUGAGUAGAAUUUUAUCUUAACUAAUUUCAUAAAAUUGUCUUAAUUAAAGUAUUUAAAUAUCAUACUUUUAUUAAUUAUAAUUUUUUGGUUUAUAAAAUAUUGAAGAACAAAUGAAGAAACUGAUGGUGGUGAAUCUUUUAAGGCAUAAGUGGUGGCCAUUUGGAUUCAAGAGCUGUGGGAGAUUGAACAUGUUUGCUGAUUUGGGGCAUGACCUCCGAGUUGGAUCUGAAGUUGAUAUAGUACAAUGAUAGAAAAUAAGAUCCUAAUAAAGAUUCUCUUAGAUGUGGCAUUGGUCAAUGAAGUAGAAGAUCUAAUGUAGAUGUUCUUGUAAUCAGCGAUGAGUUAUUGCAAUGAAUAGAGUUACUUAAUCAUUAUUUGUAAACUAUAAUAGAAUUGAAUCAUAUUCCAUUACAUCUUUUUUAGGAGUCACAACCAAGUCAACUUUCUCAAAGGAUAUAAUUUGUAACCUUUAAGGAUUAUUUUUAAUAAAAAAUUAUAAACAAAGAAAUUUUACCACUCUUAUAAUUCUUAUAUGGUAUUAGAGCAACAAAAUUGAAUACAAGUUUAAUAAAAAUAGAUAACUAAAAAUAUAAGAAAGCUCAUAAGAAAAAGGAUUGCACUUAAGAUAUUUUGUACAAAAAUUAGAGCACUAAUAUAUCCUCUCUUAAGAUUAUGGCUUCUAAUAGCCUCACCACCAAACAAUGGCCAAAAUUCAAUGACACUUGGUAUAUCAAUGGAAGCAAAAGAUAUAAAUGAAGUUCAAAAUAGAAAAAAUAUAAAAGUUGGUUUUUAAAAACAAAAGAGUACCAAUACCUAUCUAAGAAGCAAAUAUAGUAAUACCAUCAAAUCAAUUAGAAAUUUAAGCAUGGAAAAAAAAGAAUCAUGCUACACUUGCAGCCAUUUAAGAUUGUGUUAAUAACUCCAUAUUUUUUUAUAUUGGCACAUUAAAAAUAUCUAAUAUAAUAUAGCUUGUAUUAAAAAAUACAUAUUUUACUAGUAAAGUUUGUACACAAGCUUACUUAUAAGAAAAAUAUAUAAUACAAAAAAUGAAGGUUGAUAAAUAGAGAAUACUCCCAACUUUAAUUGUGAUUCUUUUUUACAAAGAAACUACAAUGAAGAGCUUUUCUUUCAACACUCAAGUCUUCUUUGUUAGGUGUAAGAUUAAAAAUAAGUAGCAACCUUGAUUAUCAUCAAAUCAACCUUCAAAAGACCACAAAUAUUCAAAAUAAAAAUCAUGACAAAAUAUAAUUCAUUAAUUUUUAAGCUUUAUCAUUUGAUAAAAAUAAAGUGUAUAUUGGUAAUAAUAUAAUAUUUUUUAUAUAUGGAAAAAGAAAAGUCAACGUAUGCAUGAUUAAUGGCCACACUAUUUGUCAUACUAGUAUAUUAUAUCUAUCAAAUUUGUAAAAAAAAUAUUUUUAAUGCAAGAACAUGAUGAUAUUGGAGGUGGCAUACUCAUUAAAAUUUACCAAUGUUACAUUCUUGACAUAGAUAAUAUAACCAUGUCACAAUGUCCACUCAUUGAUAAUCUAUAUUUACAUGGUACUACUAUUUUACUUACAUAUUCAGCUUUAGCUAAUUUAUUUGUAAAAAAUAAAAAGCAUCUCAUUAUAAUCAUUCCACCUCUAGCCAUCAAUCAUGCAAGCUCCAUUGGAUUAGUUUGGCUGAACACUACUUUCUAUUGUGUUCUUGAAUUGGUCUGGUCUUUUGAUCCAAAAGCUUCCAAUAGCCAAAAGUAUCUACAUCCUUGUUCAGCCUAUACUUGUUCCAAUUCUGAAUUAGGCUCAUUAUUAUGUCCCUGCUAUUCAACUCUUGUCAAUUCUAAUAGGGGACAUUGCAUGCUUCCUAAGCCUAAUUCUAUACAUCAAUGCUCCAAUGACAUUAGUUGUUGUCAACAUCCUCUAUGAAUGGUCAUUGUUAAUCCUACAACAACAUGCUGCAGCAUUUUUAGAAGCAGCCAAUAAUCCAUUCUACUAGUCCAAGUCAACUCUACUCUAGCCGAUUCAGAUAUCACCCAAAAAUGUACCAAACUCCCAAGGUACACCUUCUAUUUCAAAUGUUGUCUUUUUAAGUGUAUCUUUGACUUUGGAUCUUCAACUCAAAAAAAAUAAUCUCGUGGCUUCCAACAUUCUCAUACAUCCUAUAUUGGAAAAUUCAGUUCAAGCUUACUUUAGGAUUUCUAGACAAUUGUGGCAUUGCAGAUUAGAUCAUAUAUGUGCCAAUUACCUUCAUAAUAUUGUUUGAUUUGGUAUAAGUCACCAAAUCACCUCACAAAUUGUAUUAGAAUAAAAACAAUACAAUUAGAAUGUCAAGUACAAUUAUUAAAAAAGAUUAGGAGAAAAGAUGCUAAGUAUAAGAAAAGUUGUAUUAGUAGAAAAAAUAUUGCUAAUAUAGAAGAUCUAAUAGAAAUUUACAUGUAGAAGCAUCUUACAAGCAUCAAAUAGGUAUUUUUUAAUAUUUUAGAAACAUCUAAAAAAGAUCAAGAAUAUUCAAAAUUCUAAUGUUAUAAGGUAUAGAGAAGGUCCAUAUAUGAAUCAAAGACGAUCCAAAUACAAUCCACUUUGGAUGUAUAUAGCCUAGAUACGGUGGUGGAUUUUGUAUGGAUAUGGAUACGAAUAUAGCAUAUUACAGUAUUAAUAUGGUAUUGUUGCAGUACUGGAUAUAGUAUACAGAAUAUAAAACACAGAGUACAAUAUGGUACACAAUAGAAUAUAUAAUAGAAUAUGUGGUAGAGCACAAGGUAUAGAAGCAACUACGUAUAAAUAUUGUUGAAAUACGGCGAAGUAUGAUUGAUGUAUUGUAUCGAGUACGGGUGGUUCUGUAUCGGAUGGCGGUCAUGUAUUGGUGGCCGGGUAACAGAUGGCCCCUCAAUUGGAUCCCUCUCCUAAUUUUCUUUUUGUGUUCCGGUGUAUGGCAGAGCCCCGACAAGUGUGGGUUGCGGCUAAGCAGUUUCUCUUUUGUUCUAUUUUUAUCCGUAUUGUAGCUGCAGUGGGCUGCGGUAGAGAACACGGUAGGUUGUACUCGUUAUUCGGUUGAAGGUGGCUGCUGGAGCGGACGAGCAGUGGUGUCUCUUGCCAAGUUUGGCACAGUGACGUGUGUAGUGGAUGAACCUCUUAUGUUCUGGUAUGCUCAAGUUCUGGUAUGCGGUUUAUUUUGUCUUCAUCGGAUUCUUGCAGCAAGUGUAUACAAGGCUGGAGCCGCAAUCUUCUUCGCUUACUAAGUUGAUUGUUGGCAGUGAUCGUUGGCGGCGGAGCGAGCUGCGGUGGCCUUGUCAAUGGCUUCUCCCGAUUUAAUUUUCUUCUCCUCGGUGGUCUUGCAGAGCUCCGCAAUCCCUAGGCAGUGCAGCUAGAGCCAUUGCAGUCGUGGAGCUACUCGCAUUUGAGUAGCGAUGCUGGUUUAGUGUAUGACGUGGUAGUCUGGAUUUUUUCUCUUUGUGUUUUCUCGAUCCAUUGCCAAUUUUUGAUGGAAUCAAGUUCUAGAGCGGCAUUCGCUAUUGCUACUUCCUUGGGGCUCUUUCCUUCAAGUUAUUACCCCGCUCUGUUCCUGCCAUAGAAUAAUUGAGAGUUGGUCGAUCACAGCAUUGUUGUUUCUCCUUUGCUGGCAGGAUUGUGGUGGAAGUUGAAGCAACAUUCCUUGGUUCGACAAAAUUUUCCUUUCGUAUGUGGUUUUAUCAUUAAGCUUGCUUGCUCUACCGUUGUAUUAUCCAUGUUGUUUUUUUCCACAUCACCACUAUCGGAUCGUGAAGCGGCGUCGUUAGUAACAAUGUCAAAUGUUUGGUUACGAUUGGUUAUUCCCUUGCUGGUUUUUUUUGCUAUGAGUGCGGCCUUGCAAUAAGAUAUACGAUAGCUAUUGCUGCCUUCGACGGUCGGCGAUUGAUUUCUCCCUUGUUGGUUGGAGCAAUGGUGUCGUAAUUCCCUUCUGCAUUGCAGCUUCUGAUCCUUAGAUUGUUGGUCGUCUUGUUGUGUUAGCACCUUUGCAUAAUUGAGCAAUUGAUCCAUGCAAGCUCCUUUGCAAUGCAUUUUCUUGUGUUCGGCAGCCUUGAUGAGGAUUCAGAAUUGGAAAAAUUCUUGCGAAGGACCAUUUGAGUUGGAUUAUUGAAGAACCACAUCAACUCAUAGGAAAGUUAGCUACCAUAACUUAUAGGAGCCAUUAAAAUUAGGGUUCUUAGUGAAGAUUGGAAUCAAAAUUAGGUAGGCAGGAGUAAGGAAUCGAGCCACCAAUUCAGCCACUAUUACUUCAGCACCGUCACAAAAGUCCACGGUGAUGCUUAGGCAUCCUCCUAGGGCCUUCGUCAUCAAAGUUUGACAGCAAGGGGGUUCAGCAGGCAAUCAGAGAGGAGUUCGAAGUACUCCAAAAAGAAAAUUGUACCUCUCACGUUUUGAAUUACAAAUUCCGAUUGAAUCUA
This 26582-nucleotide long non-coding RNA is filed under the name Physcomitrium patens. RNAcentral describes it as "long non-coding RNA (PPAT_LNC002384)". Lineage: Eukaryota; Viridiplantae; Streptophyta; Bryopsida; Funariales; Funariaceae. The record is from RNAcentral.